Molecule: ribosomal RNA, 497 nt
Filed under: uncultured bacterium
Lineage: Bacteria
Description: partial 16S ribosomal RNA
Rfam family: Bacterial small subunit ribosomal RNA
Source: RNAcentral
GAUGAACGCUGGCGGCGUGCCUAAUACAUGCAAGUCGAGCGAACAGACGAGGAGCUUGCUCCUCUGACGUUAGCGGCGGACGGGUGAGUAACACGUGGAUAACCUACCUAUAAGACUGGGAUAACUUCGGGAAACCGGAGCUAAUACCGGAUAAUAUAUUGAACCGCAUGGUUCAAUAGUGAAAGACGGUUUUGCUGUCACUUAUAGAUGGAUCCGCGCCGCAUUAGCUAGUUGGUAAGGUAACGGCUUACCAAGGCGACGAUGCGUAGCCGACCUGAGAGGGUGGUCGGCCACACGGGAACAGAGAAUCCGUCCAGACUCCUACGGGAGGCAGCAGUAGGGAAUCUUCCGCAAUGGGGGAAAGCCUGACGGAGCAACGCCGCGUGAGGGAUGAAGGUCUUCGGAUCGUAAAACUCUGUUAUUAGGGAAGAACAAAUGUGUAAGUAACUAUGCACGUCUUGAUGGUACCUAAUCAGAAAGCCACGGCUAACUACGUG